Molecule: small nucleolar RNA, 108 nt
Filed under: Vitis vinifera (wine grape)
Lineage: Eukaryota; Viridiplantae; Streptophyta; Magnoliopsida; Vitales; Vitaceae
Description: Plant small nucleolar RNA R71
Rfam family: Plant small nucleolar RNA R71
About the family: R71 is a member of the C/D box family of snoRNAs containing the C (UGAUGA) and D (CUGA) box motifs. Multiple nearly identical copies of this snoRNA have been identified in Arabidopsis, and it is thought to function as a 2'-O-ribose methylation guide for 18S ribosomal RNA.
Source: Rfam by way of RNAcentral
AAGCCAUGAUGAGGGCAAGCAUUUAUAGCUUCCAUGUAUCUUUCCCAACACUCAUAGAAUUUUUCAUUCUCUUUAGCUGAGAAAUUUGAAAUUUUCCUUUUCAAGCCA